RNAcentral lists this ribosomal RNA (253 nucleotides) under uncultured bacterium. RNAcentral's name for it is "partial 16S ribosomal RNA". It matches the Rfam family "Bacterial small subunit ribosomal RNA", at positions 524 to 776 of the family's 1533-position model. The record is from RNAcentral.
UACAGAGGGUGCAAGCGUUGUUCGGAAUUAUUGGGCGUAAAGGGCGCGUAGGCGGUUCGGCAAGUCUCUAGUGAAAUCUCUGGGCUUAACUCAGAGUCUGCUGGGGAAACUGCCGGGCUUGAGUGUGGGAGAGGAGAGUGGAAUUUCCGGUGUAGCGGUGAAAUGCGUAGAUAUCGGAAGGAACACCUGUGGCGAAAGCGGCUCUCUGGACCACAACUGACGCUGAGGCGCGAAAGCUAGGGGAGCAAACAGG